CCUACAGGAGGCUGCAGUAGGGAAUCUUCCACAAUGGACGAAAGUCUGAUGGAGCAACGCCGCGUGAGUGAAGAAGGGUUUCGGCUCGUAAAGCUCUGUUGGUAGUGAAGAAAGAUAGAGGUAGUAACUGGCCUUUAUUUGACGGUAAUUACUUAGAAAGUCACGGCUAACUACGUGCAAGCAGCCGCGGUAAUACGUAGGUGGCAAGCGUUGUCCGGAUUUAUUGGGCGUAAAGGGAGUGCAGGCGGUUCAAUAAGUCUGAUGUGAAAGCCUUCGGCUCAACCGGAGAAUUGCAUCAGAAACUGUUGAACUUGAGUGCAGAAGAGGAGAGUGGAACUCAAGGUGUAGCGGUGGAAUGCGUAG
This 363-nucleotide ribosomal RNA is filed under the name uncultured bacterium. RNAcentral describes it as "partial 16S ribosomal RNA". It matches the Rfam family "Bacterial small subunit ribosomal RNA", at positions 338 to 693 of the family's 1533-position model. The record is from RNAcentral.